This 414-nucleotide unclassified non-coding RNA is filed under the name Acacia oxyclada. RNAcentral describes it as "partial external transcribed spacer". Lineage: Eukaryota; Viridiplantae; Streptophyta; Magnoliopsida; Fabales; Fabaceae. The record is from RNAcentral.
GUGGUGUUUGGAUCGUCUCUGCCGGCUGGCUCCGUGCCCGUCCACCGAACGGCCGGCAGGCGAUCCGCUUCGGUCGCGCGAGGUGGUUGUAUGCACAUGGUUAUUUACCCAGAGGCCGGUUCUUGUGUUGCCUACCCCUUCGGGGGAACCACGGGCCACUUGAUGUAAGCCUCCAUCCGGCGCCCUCCGUGGGCGCCGGAGGACAGAGGAGCACCCCCCGCGUUCCACCGAGCCCCCGUCGGUCGCGUGGCACGCGGGGACGUGCGAUGCUCUCGGACCCAGCGCACGCCGCGGGCGAGGACUCCCACGUCCCAGUCCCAAGAGAAGCUUCGAUGCGAUGCUGACGGCCGCUCCCGCCCCCGACCGCCCCGGCGGCGUGAGGGCGAGGCGCGGCGUCGCGGAGGGAUGCUACCU